CUUCCCUGCAGCUGCCAGGCACUACGUUGCCCAACAGGAGUGGAAAAGGUCACCAGUUCAAAACUGAUCUGAGUCAAUGGAAAUCAGGUCUGCUCAACAGUCUACGUGAAAUGAGAAAAUUAUGAUGGAGACAGGAAUAAAGAAGCCACAUAUGAAGACUCCAAUCACAUAAGACUUAUAGACAACAGAGAAUGUUGCCUUGAUCCAGUCUAUUUCACAUGUUCCAUAUUUGUGAUCUGGAAAAAUUGAACAUAAGGAAAACAGGGGCAUGUCAUUGACUCAUCUCAUUCAUUAAGUUUUAUCAUUGACUUGGAGUCCCAUCAGUUUUG
Molecule: non-coding RNA, 329 nt
Organism: Pelodiscus sinensis (Chinese soft-shelled turtle)
Lineage: Eukaryota; Metazoa; Chordata; Testudines; Trionychidae
Source: RefSeq, a predicted model, not a curated record